AACUUUUGGCAAUGGAUCACUUGGCUCUGGCGUCGAUGAAGAACGCAGCGAAAUGCGAUAAGUAAUGUGAAUUGCAGAAUCCAGUGAAUCAUCGAAUCUUUGAACGCACAUUGCGCCCGCCAGCAUUCUGGCGGGCAUGCCUGUUCGAGCGUCAUUUCAACCCUCGACCUCCCUUUGGGGAAGUCGGCGUUGGGGACCGGCAGCACACCGCCGGCCCUGAAAUGGAGUGGCGGCCCGUCCGCGGCGACCUCUGCGUAGUAAACCAACUCGCACCGGAACCCCGACGUGGCCACGCCGUAAAACACCCAACUUCUGAACGUUGACCUCGAAUCAGGUAGGACUACCCGCUGAACUUAAGCAUAUCAAUAAGCGGAGGCU
Molecule: unclassified non-coding RNA, 378 nt
Filed under: uncultured Cordyceps
Lineage: Eukaryota; Fungi; Ascomycota; Sordariomycetes; Hypocreales; Cordycipitaceae
Description: sequence contains ITS2
Rfam family: 5.8S ribosomal RNA (bases 1-154)
Source: RNAcentral